Aegilops tauschii subsp. strangulata is the source of this 977-nucleotide non-coding RNA. The record is from RefSeq and is a predicted model, not a curated record. Lineage: Eukaryota; Viridiplantae; Streptophyta; Magnoliopsida; Poales; Poaceae.
ACGGAGGCUCUGGACCAAACGAAUUGGCAAGUGUUAUGGUUCAGAAGUUUGGCAUAUGUGUGUUCCUUUUCUAUUUGUAUAGUGUCGAAAGAAUCUCGGUAGCAUCAGAUAGUGUUAAAACAAAGCGAUCAUGGAAUUAGAAGGUGAGCUAGAAAGCAUCUUAUAUAAGGAAGGAAACUGAUUAUGUUUAUCGCAAGAAUUAUAUCUAAUGCUUGUCUUGAUUUCAAACAUGGCUCCAACAGUCCUCUUAGAUCAUGAACAACACCUUCAGUUUCUAUAUGAGACGUGUAUUGACCGUAGUCCAUGUUUCUAUAUACGUUCAAGUAUAUUUCUUAUUUUUCAGAAGGAAGUGCAAACAAUAAUAACAUGUGGCUGUUUUUGUUUUUAUGUAGCUGACGGAGUCUCUGGACCAAACGAAUUGGCAAGUGGUAUGGUUCAGAAGUUUAGCAUAUGUGUGUUCCUUUUUGAUUUGUAUGGUGUCGAAAGAAUCUCAACAGCAUCAGAUAGUGUUAAAAUCGGCGAUCAUGGAAUUAGAUGGCGACGGAGCCUCUGGACCAAACGAAUUGGCAAGUGUUAUGGUUCAGAAGUUUGGCUAGAAAGCAUCAGAUAGUCUUCUAUUGUAUUUUUGUUAGAAGGGCAAUGAUCAAGGCGGCUGACUUGUGCCUCCUUCUCUGGUGGAAAAGCGUUCGUGCCCCAGGGAUCACCGGCGAGACUUGGAGUCGCGGAGAAUCAGUGCUCGCAGCACCGCCCAGGAGAAAGAUUGCUGGCCAGACUUGGAAUCAUGGAGAACCAGGGCUCGCCUCCCGGCUCAGGAGAAAGUUUUGAAAACCAGAUGGUUGAUGUUGUAUAUGGUAAGAUUGAAAAAGAGGCGCCCAGAAUAAAAUUUCUGUUGAUUGAUCGCUGAUUUCUGUUCAAUCGCUGAUCUAUUUUGUAUAUGGAAAGAUUAAAAAAAGAGAAGGAAAGUGUUGAUGUUGUAC